RNAcentral lists this ribosomal RNA (674 nucleotides) under uncultured metazoan. RNAcentral's name for it is "partial 18S ribosomal RNA". The record is from RNAcentral. Lineage: Eukaryota; Metazoa.
GAGCUCUCAAUCUGUCAAUCCUUCCAGUGUCCGGGCCUGGUGAGAUUUCCCGUGUUGAGUCAAAUUAAGCCGCAGGCUCCACUCCUGGUGGUGCCCUUCCGUCAAUUCCUUUAAGUUUCAGCUUUGCAACCAUACUUCCCCCGGAACUCAAAAACUUUGGUUUCCCGGAAGCUUCCCGUAGAGCCUACAUAGAAAACAGCUACGGAUCGCUAGUCAGCAUUGUUUAUGGUUAGAACUAGGGCGGUAUCUGAUCGCCUUCGAACCUCUAACUUUCGUUCUUGAUUAAUGAAAACACUCUUGGCAAAUGCUUUCGCAGUAGUUAGUCCUCAAACGGUCCAAGAAUUUCACCUCUGUCGUCUGAGUACUAAUGCCCCCGGCUGUCCCUAUUAAUCAUUAAGUCAAUUUCCGAAAACCAAAAAAAUAGAAACGACUUCCUAUUCCAUUAUUCCAUGCACAAAUAUUCAAGCUUUGUAGCCUGCUUUGAGCACUCUAAUUUUUUCAAAGUAAAACUGCAAGCGUUCCAAGACAGCCGAUUAAAGCCACCUUGAGACCUCUUGCAAAAACACAGGUAAAUGGGGCAGUGCCGUCAGAAACGAACCGCCCCCUACCUGCCGAGAUCCAACUACGAGCUUUUUAACCGCAACAACUUUAAUAUACGCUAUUGGAGCUGGAAU